Molecule: unclassified non-coding RNA, 189 nt
Filed under: Spongillida sp. ZSM 20020228
Lineage: Eukaryota; Metazoa; Porifera; Demospongiae; Spongillida
Description: sequence contains ITS2, 28S rRNA gene
Source: RNAcentral
UGCGCGUCGGGAACUCGACGGCGACAAGGACGGCAGACCUCGCGCCCAAGGCGAUGCCCGUGCUGUAGCGAUUUGAAACGGUUUAGCUAACGAAAGGAGAGGGUUGAAUCGAGUUCGCUCGUUCACCCUUUCCCAUCCUGGACCUCAGCUCAGGCGUGACUACCCGCUGAAUUUAAGCAUAUCAAUAAG